This 66-nucleotide transfer RNA is filed under the name Pseudoglomeris beybienkoi. RNAcentral's name for it is "tRNA-Ile". Lineage: Eukaryota; Metazoa; Arthropoda; Insecta; Blattodea; Blaberidae. The record is from RNAcentral.
AGUAAGUGCCUGAUUUUAAAGGAUUACCUUGAUAGGGUAAAUAAAGUAAUUAAAAUUACCUUACUU